CAAUAGCGUAUAUUAAAGUUGUUGCAGUUAAAAAGCUCGUAGUUGGAUUUGUGGCGUACGGUGUGUUCCGGGCACUUGUUGUCUGAGUAACCUGCUGUUGCCAUCCUUGGGUGGAACCUGUGUGGCAUUAGGUUGUCGUGCAGGGGAUGCCCAUCAUUUACUGUGAAAAAAUUAGAGUGUUCAAAGCAGGCUUAUGCCGUUGAAUAUAUUAGCAUGGAAUAAUGAGAUAGGACUUUUUUGCUAUUUUGUUGGUUUGCGCAAAGAGGUAAUGAUUAAUAGGGACAGUUGGUGGUAGUCGUAUUCCAUUGUCAGAGGUGAAAUUCUUGGAUUUUUGGAAGACGAACUACUGCGAAAGCAUUUACCAAGGAUGUUUUCAUUAA
Molecule: ribosomal RNA, 380 nt
Filed under: uncultured eukaryote
Lineage: Eukaryota
Description: partial 18S ribosomal RNA
Rfam family: Eukaryotic small subunit ribosomal RNA
Source: RNAcentral